This 254-nucleotide ribosomal RNA is filed under the name uncultured bacterium. RNAcentral's name for it is "partial 16S ribosomal RNA". It matches the Rfam family "Bacterial small subunit ribosomal RNA", at positions 524 to 776 of the family's 1533-position model. The record is from RNAcentral.
CACGUAGGGGGCAAGCGUUGUCCGGAUUCAUUGGGCGUAAAGAGCUCGUAGGCGGUUCGAUAAGUCGGGUGUGAAACCUCCAGGCUCAACCUGGAGACGCCACCCGAUACUGUCGUGACUAGAGUCCAGUAGGGGAGCGUGGAAUUCCUGGUGUAGCGGUGAAAUGCGCAGAUAUCAGGAAGAACACCCGUGGCGAAGGCGGCUCUCUGGAACGCAACUGACGCUGAGACGCGAAAGCGUGGGGAGCAAACAGG